RNAcentral lists this ribosomal RNA (95 nucleotides) under uncultured bacterium. RNAcentral's name for it is "partial 16S ribosomal RNA". It matches the Rfam family "Bacterial small subunit ribosomal RNA", at positions 1388 to 1482 of the family's 1533-position model. The record is from RNAcentral.
CACCGCCCGUCACACCAUGGGAGUGGGCUGCACCAGAAGCCAGUAGCUUAACCGAAAGGAGGGCGCUGACCACGGUGUGGUUCAUGACUGGGGUG